This is a long non-coding RNA of Quercus robur (English oak), 709 nucleotides long. RefSeq lists it as uncharacterized. The transcript has 2 exons. Lineage: Eukaryota; Viridiplantae; Streptophyta; Magnoliopsida; Fagales; Fagaceae. The record is from RefSeq and is a predicted model, not a curated record.
CGAGUACUUCUAUCUUUUUUCUUGAGCUGAAUACUUACCCUGCUUAAACUCAAUAAAAUCAUUGCUUGCUUUUAGCCUUAAAAUAAUGUAAUGUGGAAUUUCCCUAUGAAUUUUCAUUUGCUAAAAUUAGAUCAGACUGUAUAUAUCUUUUCUUAGUUGUCUUAGAGUUCCAAAAUGAUUUUAGAGGUGUACUUGGUCAUUAUUGUGGUGCUUCCAUGUAGUGAGGGUCCAGAUAGAUUGCAAUGGUGUUUGAGAGGCAUUUGGGUGUUUGAUGUUCUGUCUUCUAUGGUUUGUUGUGAGGCGGCCCAAGGGAGAUUUCUUUUCCCUGAAUAGAAAGUUGAUGGACCCCAAUGGGAUACUGAACCCAUAUAAAGUUCUUCCAUACUCAAUUGUUUCUUACAGCUGAGAUAAGCUGAAAUUCAACAUUCCCUGAGGUAGCAAGCAUGAUGGUUUUGUCUCAAGUUGUAGCAAGUGGACAUAACUGAGCUACAGCUCAGUGGGAUGCAAUUCUAUUAAACUAUGAAGUUAGAGAUGUUCAAUACUAUCUGGCAUCUGAUUGGAGAAGGAGCAAGUUCUAUUAAAUAGAAAGCACUAGUAAUUGUAUGGCACUUGAAGAUAGUAAUCUCCAUGCCGUGGCAAUGAGUUGUGUAGUUGAUGAGUACCUAAACAGUACUGAAGAUUAAAUGAAAUAAAAGCAUAUUCCUAUGAA